RNAcentral lists this ribosomal RNA (1343 nucleotides) under uncultured bacterium. RNAcentral's name for it is "16S ribosomal RNA". It matches the Rfam family "Bacterial small subunit ribosomal RNA", at positions 28 to 1378 of the family's 1533-position model. The record is from RNAcentral.
GACGAACGCUGGCGGCGUGUUUAACACAUGCAAGUCGAACGGAAAGGCCCUGCUUUUGUGGGGUGCUCGAGUGGCGAACGGGUGAGUAACACGUGAGUAACCUGCCCUUGACUUUGGGAUAACUUCAGGAAACUGGGGCUAAUACCGGAUAGGAGCUCCUGCUGCAUGGUGGGGGUUGGAAAGUUUCGGCGGUUGGGGAUGGACUCGCGGCUUAUCAGCUUGUUGGUGGGGUAGUGGCUUACCAAGGCUUUGACGGGUAGCCGGCCUGAGAGGGUGACCGGCCACAUUGGGACUGAGAUACGGCCCAGACUCCUACGGGAGGCAGCAGUGGGGAAUAUUGCACAAUGGGCGGAAGCCUGAUGCAGCAACGCCGCGUGCGGGAUGACGGCCUUCGGGUUGUAAACCGCUUUCGCCUGUGACGAAGCGUGAGUGACGGUAAUGGGUAAAGAAGCACCGGCUAACUACGUGCCAGCAGCCGCGGUGAUACGUAGGGUGCGAGCGUUGUCCGGAUUUAUUGGGCGUAAAGGGCUCGUAGGUGGUUGAUCGCGUCGGAAGUGUAAUCUUGGGGCUUAACCCUGAGCGUGCUUUCGAUACGGGUUGACUUGAGGAAGGUAGGGGAGAAUGGAAUUCCUGGUGGAGCGGUGGAAUGCGCAGAUAUCAGGAGGAACACCAGUGGCGAAGGCGGUUCUCUGGGCCUUUCCUGACGCUGAGGAGCGAAAGCGUGGGGAGCGAACAGGCUUAGAUACCCUGGUAGUCCACGCUGUAAACGGUGGGUACUAGGUGUGGGGUCCAUUCCACGGGUUCCGUGCCGUAGCUAACGCUUUAAGUACCCCGCCUGGGGAGUACGGCCGCAAGGCUAAAACUCAAAGGAAUUGACGGGGCCCCGCACAAGCGGCGGAGCAUGCGGAUUAAUUCGAUGCAACGCGUAGAACCUUACCUGGGUUUGACAUGGAUCGGGAGCGCUCAGAGAUGGGUGUGCCUCUUUUGGGGUCGGUUCACAGGUGGUGCAUGGCUGUCGUCAGCUCGUGUCGUGAGAUGUUGGGUUAAGUCCCGCAACGAGCGCAACCCUUGUUCACUGUUGCCAGCACGUUAUGGUGGGGACUCAGUGGAGACCGCCGGGGUCAACUCGGAGGAAGGUGGGGAUGACGUCAAGUCAUCAUGCCCCUUAUGUCCAGGGCUUCACGCAUGCUACAAUGGCUGGUACAGAGAGUGGCGAGCCUGUGAGGGUGAGCGAAUCUCGGAAAGCCGGUCUCAGUUCGGAUUGGGGUCUGCAACUCGACCUCAUGAAGUCGGAGUCGCUAGUAAUCGCAGAUCAGCAACGCUGCGGUGAAUACGUUCCCGGG